RNAcentral lists this ribosomal RNA (253 nucleotides) under uncultured bacterium. Its description in RNAcentral is "partial 16S ribosomal RNA". It matches the Rfam family "Bacterial small subunit ribosomal RNA", at positions 524 to 776 of the family's 1533-position model. The record is from RNAcentral.
UACGUAGGUGGCAAGCGUUGUCCGGAUUUACUGGGCGUAAAGAGCGCGCAGGCGGUCGAUCAAGUCGCGUGUGAAAGCCCCCGGCUCAACUGGGGAGGGUCACGCGAUACUGAUCGACUCGAAGGCAGGAGAGGGUAGUGGAAUUCCCGGUGUAGUGGUGAAAUGCGUAGAUAUGACACAGAACACCGAUUGCGAAGGCAGCUCACUAAAUUGUAACUGACGCUGAGGCACGAAAGCGUGGGGAUCAAACAGG